Cyanistes caeruleus (blue tit) is the source of this 1478-nucleotide non-coding RNA. Lineage: Eukaryota; Metazoa; Chordata; Aves; Passeriformes; Paridae. The record is from RefSeq and is a predicted model, not a curated record.
CAGGAAACAAAGAGAACCCAGAGAGCUCUGCUUUUACAUUUUAAGCAGAAGGAAGAGAGCUUGGAGAGCAAGUGGACAGCCCUGGAGAGGAAAGGGUGAAUGCCAUGCAGCUGGAGAUUCAGGAGAGAGAUUUCUUGACCCAGGAGAAGUCUCUCACCGCGAGCAAGCAUUUUUAGACACCAAUAGAUGGAAACACGGAUUUGAAUACCCCAGAAUAGCUGUUGAGUCAUGAAGAUGAAACAGAGGAAAAUCAAGUCAGAAGCACCAAAAGAAGAACCACUGCCUGAGCCAUCUGUUUGAUCUAGCAGCUGUUUGCUUUUAGUAAAGAGCACUGAGACUCAGGCAACGUCUCCUUUGUAAAGUAGAUCUUUCUUUUUCCUUUUUGUCUUUUUAUGUUUCUUGUUGCACAACCUUUGGAAUACAUUUCAGUUUCCAGGAAAGGAGUAUUCUUUUUUCUUUGGGACCACAGCCUUUCUAACAGGCAAAAGAACAAACCGAAACACAGAAGUUGCACCUCAUUAUGAGGAAAAGCUUUAACUUGGAGGUUCACAGAGCACUGGAAUGGGCUGCACAGAGAGGUUGCAGAGGAUCCAUCUCUGGAGAUAUUCCAGAGUCACAUGGCCACUGGGUGAACCUGUUCUGGUGAUGGGGUUGGAUUAAAAGAUCUCCAGAGGUCUCUUCCAACCAGCUGUUCAGUGGUAUUCUGCUGGCUAGCUACGUGUGCAGUUGGCUAGCUCUGUUACCACCUGAGUGCCAUAAAGGGACAACUAAACCAGAAGCAGAAAUUACCUGCUUUUGGCAGUACUCCUUAGGGGAGAACGCCUUUGAAAAAUAGUCUUUCAUCUUGUCAAUCAGGUUUCUUAAGGUAACACUUGAAUCUCAUUUAAAAAUCUUUAAAGUUUUGCAGUAAGAAAAGGGUGAAAACAUCUCAUUGAUUUGUGCAUUUAUUUGGGGAUAUAAGGAACAAGCAGGAAAUAAAGCAUAAACUGAAUACAGAAAGGAGAGGUUCAUGAGACCACUUGCAAAAGUGGCAGGAGAAAAUAUGGCUGAAUAGUGCCAGUGUGAGCAGGUCUUCGCUACAGUGCAGUAAUUUUUCAUGAACACAAUUACUUACUAUCAAUUAUAUGCUUAUAUUUUUGCUAUAGUAAGUAAUCAAAAUACUUACUUUUCAAUUAAAAUGGAUAGCAAUUAAAAAUAUUAUGAAGCCAGAAGCAGAAAUCAGCAAAAUUUGGCCUCUUUCAUGCCUGUGUAAUGAAAAAGAACACAGUCAUAGAAUUUUCAAAGAUGUAUAAGCUCCAACAGUGUGUGAAGACUGAAAAUGCAAUUAUAGCAUAAAAGUAUCCAACUCAGUAUAGAAAAAGUUGGGGAUAUUUUCUAGCACCUAUAACCAGAAUGGAGGUGUGUAUUUCCUUUUGCAACAUGUCUGGAAAAGGUUUAGAAAUCUAUUAUUGUUUGAAUCUAUUAUUGAGAGUGAUGGA